GGAAUCUUCGGCAAUGGACGAAAGUCUGACCGAGCAACGCUGCGUGAGUGAAGAAGGUUUUCGGAUCGUAAAACUCUGUUGUUAGAGAAGAACAAGGGUGAGAGUAACUGUUCACCCCUUGACGGUAUCUAACCAGAAAGCCACGGCUAACUACGUGCCAG
This 161-nucleotide ribosomal RNA is filed under the name uncultured bacterium. RNAcentral describes it as "partial 16S ribosomal RNA". It matches the Rfam family "Bacterial small subunit ribosomal RNA", at positions 358 to 511 of the family's 1533-position model. The record is from RNAcentral.